Molecule: long non-coding RNA, 3301 nt
Organism: Rosa chinensis
Lineage: Eukaryota; Viridiplantae; Streptophyta; Magnoliopsida; Rosales; Rosaceae
Exons: 7
Source: RefSeq, a predicted model, not a curated record
UAAAACCAGAGCACGUUAACACCGUCCUCAAAUUAGAGAGGAGCUCCAACAAUGUCGAAGAAGAAGCUACUGACUCCUCUCUCCUCUCUUCUCCUCCUCCGACGAACCCUAACUUCCACCCCUCAUUUCUCAAUCCCACACCUGCAAUCCCGCACCAAUUUCUCCCCCAACAUCGAAAAGCUCCGCCCCCUUUUCCCGCUCCCCGGAUUUGAUUUUCCCGGCAAAUCUUUCAUCUCCUCCCAAUUUGGGGACAAACCCAAUUCCCCCCCACUGCUGGAACUGCAGCGCUUCCGCUCAAACGACGCCGUUUCUGCUCUGCCCCUCCUGCCGGUGCAUCCAACCCAUCGAUUACUUUCCGUUAUUUGGACUGUCAGUCAUUCCAGAAAUCUAGAUGCUUAUCAUUGUUUUGGAGUGCACAUGAUUUAGAUGAAUAGUAUCUUUCGGGUUCUCUCUCUGACAGAUGAAUCUGUCAAAUCAUUUACGGUGAAUGUAUGCCAAGUUUGUAAAAUCCAAGAUGGUUGAAGCAUGUGAAAUUUGAGUUUACAAAUUGGGAUGUUGCAAGUGAGCAUAUUUUGAUUGAGAUGAUUUGCCCAUGUAGGUGGUGUCUUAAUUCAUUAUUCUAGAAUUCGUAAUUGAGGACAUAAUCUUAUGUAAUUGGAGAAAGCAGAGUUCCUGUGUAGAAGUUUUGGAGGGUUGCUUUCAUCUUGUUUUCUGAAAUUGUUGGAAGUUAUUGGCUUCCAACUCUCAGGCUUUAAAUCAGAUUCAGUCUCUGGUAUGACCCAAGACUUAUUUAAUACAUGCAGGAAUAGUUUGUACGGGAGUACAUCAUUUCUGUAAGGCUAUCACAUAUGUGGUUUCCACACUCAAUGGAGAGCAAUUCCUUAACGGACUAAGGGUCAUCCGAUCUUUAGAUUCUUAGGAUUGACUAUUGCAUCCUGUCUAAUGGCAGGAAUGGUAUUGUUACAGUACUGUGUUUAUUUCUUUCUGGGAAGGAAACCUUGCUUGUUCACCUUCAAUCUCCUGCUUAGUCAAUUGAAUAUGUGUAAUGAGGUCCUUAAUGCGCUCUUAUUAUCUUAAUUUAUAUCCAAACUGACCUGUGUUCUUACUCAUGCAGAUGCAAGAGAAACUGAGGCAGUGGUCUAAUUCUUUUGCCGAGGCAUUUGAAAGCCGUAACUUUGAAGAAGCCGUAAAAGCUAUCCGGCGAAUGACUUAUUAUGAGCGUGUAAAUGAAGAAAUUGUAAAGAGGCUGUAAUGAAGGGGUAGUACAUACCAUAGUCUUCAACAAAAUCAUCAUUAUAGACAGAAUGGGUAUACCGCGAAUCAUAUAGUGUAUUAACAUUUCUGUCUGCAGAAAAUGGAAAAGGCUCUAUACAGUUAUGUUAUCAUAAUGUAAUGUCAUGUAAUAUAUCAGAAGUAGAAUUGUGGGUUUGUAUGCCUAAAAAUUUUGUAUUAGAGAAGGCUGGAACUCUUUUCUUUUACUUGUUACGUUAUUAACAGAUAUUACUAGUGAGACUUGCCAUCGAGCAACUUUCAGGGUGGGGCAUGUGAAACUGAUAUGGUUCUUGUGCAAACAGAAUUUUAAAUUUGUGAUCGGAAAGGACAAGCUCUAAUGAAGAAAUUGCAGGGUUUGAUUGAAGACCUGGUUGAGGUUCUGAUAUAAUGGAUAUUAGAUGAGCCGACAUUCUAAAAUAUUUUCAUGGUGGUUCAGACUUCAGAGAUAUGAAUUGUUUAUGCACCAGUUGUAUCUAGCAGGCGCUUGGAAAACUGGUCAAGAAUGGUUCUUAACAUCUUGGAAGUCACAAGAUUAUCCUGGAACUGGGAACUAUACCUCUAGGCUCUAUCCGAAUUGGAAUCAAAGUGCUAAGCCCCAGUAUUUUGUGUAUCAAGAUUUGACAAGGUACUGGCGAAGUGAUCCAUGGGCCAUGGCCUAGUUUCGUGAAUAAUCUAGACGAAAUGUAUUAUAUGGUAUCGUACAACACCAAUGUGAUUAAAAGAACGAGGUUACUCAAUUCUGGGUUAUAUCAGCACCUAACAUGGAAUGAUGCUGACCAUCAAUGGACGGAAGACUUUGCUGCUCCAAGAUACCGGUGUGACUGGUAUGCACAUUGCGGUGCCAAUAGCAAAUGUAGCCCUGACAACACUCUUCUGUUUGAGGGUGACUGUCUCCCCGGAUAUGAACCAAAAUAUGUAAAUAAGUGGAAUCAGAAUGAUGGGUCAGAUGGAUGUGUGAGUAAGCAAAUAGAUGCAUCCAAGUGUGAGCAUGGAUAAGGGUUUGUGAAGGUGGCGAGAGUAAAAUAUCCAGACACAACAAAAGCAGCCCGAUUGGAAAAACGUACGAGUACUAAAGUGUGUGAGCAGGAGUGCUUAAGAAAUUGUUCUUGCACAGCAUAUAUGAGCGUAAAAAAUGAAGGGCUUGUCGAUUGCUGGACAUGCUGAGUAUGCCAAAAAGGCAAAAAGUCAAAAGGCUUCUUCAGAAGGAAGGUUUUGUUGGCUAUUCCAAUAUUGUCUCUUCUUCUGCCGUUGGUACUAAUCACUGUGUUUACAUGUUGGUGGCUUAGUAAAAAGAGGAAGACAAAAGACUUGGUCCCAAACGAGCUUGAGGACACUAGGAGAUACCCGGAUCUGCAAUUUUUCCAUCUCAGCUCAAUAACUCUCCGGUCAAUGAGCUUGGCCAAGGCAGUUUGGCUCCGUCUAUCUGGGUCAGUUACCAAAGGUGCAGAAGAUUGCUGUAAAAAGGUUGUCUAAGACUUCUGGACAAGAAAUUGAAGAAUUCAAAAAUGAAGUUGGGCUGAUAGCCAGACUUCAACACAGGAAUCUUGUGAAACUUAUAGGCUGUUGUAUACAUGGAGAAGAAAGGAUAUUAGUACUCGAAAACAUGCCUAACAAGGGCUUGGAUUCAUUUAUUUUUGAUUCAACAAGAAGAUCCUUUUUGGACUGGCGAAAGCGCUUUGAAAUUAUCAAUGGAGUUGCUCGUGGGGUUUUGUAUCUUCAUCAAGACUGAGAAUUAUCCAUAGAAAGCCAGCAAUAUUGUUCUUGUAGAGAUGUUGACAUGAAGGCAAAAGUUUCAGAUUUCGGCAUAGUAAGAAUAUUCCAUGGAGACCAAAUAUGCAGGAUAUGACAAAUAGAGUUGUUGGAACAUAUGGCUAUUUGUCACAUGAGUAUGCAGUGUUUGGGAGACUUUCAACAAAAUCUGAUGUAUAUAGUUUUGGAGUCAUGUUACUGGUGUAAGCGGCAAGAAGAACAAUAGUUCUUACUGGGAGGAUUCUACCAUAAACUUGAUAGGAUAUAUAAGUAACACAAC